Molecule: non-coding RNA, 89 nt
Organism: Mycena galericulata
Lineage: Eukaryota; Fungi; Basidiomycota; Agaricomycetes; Agaricales; Mycenaceae
Source: the annotation of a GenBank genome assembly
UCGGGCGUGGUGUAUGGCACACUCCCUCUCAAUUUACACGGAAGAGAGAUGAGGAGGGAGAGAGCCGGGUUCGAUCCCUGGCGCCCGAG